This 442-nucleotide ribosomal RNA is filed under the name Rhacophorus rhodopus. Its description in RNAcentral is "partial 12S ribosomal RNA". It matches the Rfam family "Bacterial small subunit ribosomal RNA", at positions 754 to 1414 of the family's 1533-position model. Lineage: Eukaryota; Metazoa; Chordata; Amphibia; Anura; Rhacophoridae. The record is from RNAcentral.
AAAAAGCUUCAAACUGGGAUUAGAUACCCCACUAUGCCAAACCGUAAAAAUUUAACCUACACCAACCAACGCCAGGGUACUACGAGCCCUAGCUUAAAACCCAAAGGACUUGACGGUGUCCCACCCAACUAGAGGAGCCUGUUCUAUAAUCGAUAAUCCACGAUACACCUAACCAUUUCUUGCUAAUCAGUCUGUAUACCUCCGUCGUAAGCUUACCGUGUGAACGCACAAUAGUAGGCCCAAGGGCUUAAACGUCACAACGUCAGGUCAAGGUGCAACCCAUGAAAUGGAAGCUAUGGGCUACAAUUUCUAAUCUAGAACAAACGAAAUACUAUGUGAAAUAUAGUCACGAAGGCGGAUUUAGCAGUAAGUAGGAAAUAGAGAGUCCUACUAAACUUGGCUCUGGGACGUGUACACACCGCCCGUCACCCUCUGCAGUCAA